CACGGAGUUAGCCGAUCCUUAUUCGUACCGUACUUUCAAAACCCUACUCGUAAGGCAUUUUACCCCGGUACAAAAGCAGUUUACAACUCGUAGAGCCGUCGUCCUGCACGCGGCAUGGCUGGUUCAGGAUUCCUCCCAUUGACCAAUAUUCCUCACUGCUGCCUCCCGUAGGAGUCUGGUCCGUAUCUCAGUACCAGUGUGGGGGAUUAACCUCUCAGUUCCCCUAGAUAUCGUAGCCAUGGUGAGCCGUUACCUCUCCAUCCAGCUAAUAUCACGCAUGCCCAUCCGGAACCACCUCAGUUUUCAACCGACAAAGAUGCCUUCGUCAGUAUUACGGAGUAUUAGACCAAAUUUCUUACGGAUUAUCCUCCUGUCCCGGGCAGGUUGCAUACGACGUUACGCACCCGUCCGCCGGUCGCCAUCAAUAAAUAUUGCUAUUCAUUAUGCUCGACCCCUCGACUUGCUAUGUAGUUACGGCCGUCGCCGUCGUACGUCGUUCAUCC
Molecule: ribosomal RNA, 503 nt
Filed under: uncultured Bacteroidota bacterium
Lineage: Bacteria; Pseudomonadati; Bacteroidota
Description: uncultured Bacteroidetes bacterium partial 16S ribosomal RNA
Source: RNAcentral